AUACUGACGAGUCCCAAACAGGACGAAACGCGCGUCCUGGAU
Molecule: non-coding RNA, 42 nt
Organism: Schistosoma margrebowiei
Lineage: Eukaryota; Metazoa; Platyhelminthes; Trematoda; Strigeidida; Schistosomatidae
Source: Rfam